AUCGAGUUUGUUUUCAUGCAUGUUCUAUUAACAAGUAUGUAGAUCUUGGAAAAAGAAAAUAUUUUGAUCUUGAUAAAAUUCUUUUUCAAAUCUCGAUUAGUUUAUUGUUUUUCCGAAUUUUGCAUUUAUACUAUUUAUGUGAUGUUCGUUUGUUAGUCGUUGGCGACCGCGACCAAAUGUUGUUCGUAUGGAAGUCGCUGGAUAUAGCGACCUGCGAUUAUAAUUUUUGGUCGCUAUUUAUCUUUACGACUGAUUAUAAAACGCGAUGUCUGAAUUCAGUAAACUCGGCGACGGUAUUGUUUUACAUUCUUUUACAUUUUAAAACUCUAUUAUUUACAUUCUCUAUUAAUUAUAAUGAUGCUCACUAAUAUAAA
This 374-nucleotide small RNA is filed under the name Arabidopsis thaliana (thale cress). RNAcentral's name for it is "ATSL049230". The record is from RNAcentral. Lineage: Eukaryota; Viridiplantae; Streptophyta; Magnoliopsida; Brassicales; Brassicaceae.